AUUGAACGCUGGCGGCAGGCUUAACACAUGCAAGUCGAGCGGAGAGAGGUAGCUUGCUACUGAUCUUAGCGGCGGACGGGUGAGUAAUGCUUAGGAAUCUGCCUAUUAGUGGGGGACAACAUUUCGAAAGGAAUGCUAAUACCGCAUACGUCCUACGGGAGAAAGCAGGGGAUCUUCGGACCUUGCGCUAAUAGAUGAGCCUAAGUCGGAUUAGCUAGUUGGUGGGGUAAAGGCCUACCAAGGCGACGAUCUGCAGCGGGUCUGAGAGGAUGAUCCGCCACACUGGGACUGAGACACGGCCCAGACUCCUACGGGAGGCAGCAGUGGGGAAUAUUGGACAAUGGGCGGAAGCCUGAUCCAGCCAUGCCGCGUGUGUGAAGAAGACCUUAUGGUUGUAAAGCACUUUAAGCGAGGAGGAGGCUACUUUAGUUAAUACCUAGAGAUAGUGGACGUUACUCGCAGAAUAAGCACCGGCUAACUCUGUGCCAGCAGCCGCCGUAA
Molecule: ribosomal RNA, 501 nt
Filed under: uncultured bacterium
Lineage: Bacteria
Description: partial 16S ribosomal RNA
Rfam family: Bacterial small subunit ribosomal RNA
Source: RNAcentral